GAAAAGGCAGUGGAAGGAAUUUGGUGCUGGGCCUGAGGGGUGGAGAAGAGGAGCUGUGGAAGGACUUCCGAGGGGCAGCAUGGUAAGCUUUCACAGGAAUUAUGGUUGAAGAGCAAACAGGAAAACCCUCAGGCUGGAGGUAGGGUGUUAAUUUUUAGAGUUCUGUCUCACUUUUAAAAUUGAAUACAUGUUAUAAAAAUCAAAAUGCUCAAAGUCAUAAACAAAGUAAAUAUUCCCACCUU
Molecule: long non-coding RNA, 242 nt
Filed under: Dasypus novemcinctus (nine-banded armadillo)
Lineage: Eukaryota; Metazoa; Chordata; Mammalia; Cingulata; Dasypodidae
Description: lncRNA (ENSDNOG00000052485.1)
Source: RNAcentral